This 254-nucleotide ribosomal RNA is filed under the name uncultured bacterium. RNAcentral's name for it is "partial 16S ribosomal RNA". It matches the Rfam family "Bacterial small subunit ribosomal RNA", at positions 524 to 776 of the family's 1533-position model. The record is from RNAcentral.
UACGGGGGAUCCAAGCGUUAUCCGGAAUUACUGGGCGUAAAGAGUUGCGUAGGCGGCAUAGUAAGCAGUGUGUGAAAUGAUAGGGCUCAACCUUAUGUCCAUACACUGAACUGCUAAGCUAGAGUAUGAGAGAGGUCGCUGGAAUUUCUAGUGUAGGAGUGAAAUCCGUAGAUAUUAGAAGGAACACCGAUGGCGUAGGCAGGCGACUGGCUCAUUACUGACGCUCAGGCACGAAAGCGUGGGGAGCGACCGGG